UGGGGAAUAUUGCACAAUGGGGGAAACCCUGAUGCAGCAAUGCCGCGUGUGUGAAGAAGGCCUGCGGGUUGUAAAGCACUUUCAGUAGAGACGAAAAGCUUAGGGUUAAUACCCUUGAGUCUUGACUUAACCUACAGAAGAAGCACCGGCUAACUCCGUGCCAGCAGCCGCGGUAAUACGGAGGGUGCGAGCGUUAAUCGGAAUCACUGGGCGUAAAGCGCGCGUAGGUGGUUUACUCAGUCGGAUGUGAAAGCCCCGGGCUUAACCUGGGAAUUGCAUUCGAUACUAGUAGACUAGAGUGUGGUAGAGGGAAGUGGAAUUCCGGGUGUAGCGGUGAAAUGCGUAGAUAUCCGGAGGAACAUCAGUGGCGAAGGCGACUUCCUGGACCAACACUGACACUGAGGUGCGAAAGCGUGGGGAGCAAACAGGAUUAGAUACCCCCGUAGUCC
This 449-nucleotide ribosomal RNA is filed under the name uncultured prokaryote. Its description in RNAcentral is "bacterial SSU rRNA". It matches the Rfam family "Bacterial small subunit ribosomal RNA", at positions 355 to 796 of the family's 1533-position model. The record is from RNAcentral.